Molecule: ribosomal RNA, 334 nt
Filed under: uncultured eukaryote
Lineage: Eukaryota
Description: partial 18S ribosomal RNA
Rfam family: Eukaryotic small subunit ribosomal RNA
Source: RNAcentral
CCCUUAGAUGUCCGGGGCCGCACGCGCGCUACACUGAAGGAAUCAGCGUGGCUUUCUCCCUGACCCGAAAGGGUUGGGAAACCCGUUGAAUCUCCUUCGUGAUAGGGAUUGGGGCUUGAAAAUGUUCCCCAUGAACGAGGAAUUCCCAGUAAGCGCGAGUCAUAAGCUCGCGUUGAUUACGUCCCUGCCCUUUGUACACACCGCCCGUCGCUACUACCGAUUGAACGGUUUAGUGAGGGCCUCGGAUUGGUCUCGGCCCGCUCUUUACCGGGCGGCGCCGUUGGUCGAGAAGACGCUCGAACUUGAUCGUUUAGAGGAAGUAAAAGUCGUAACA